AGCGGAUAUAGGUAUCUUGCUACUGAUCUUAGCGGCGGACGGGUGGGUACUCAUAGGGGUCUGCCUAUUAUUGGGGUAGACGUUUCUUUUUGAAUGCUAAUACCGAAUACUUCCUACGGGAGAACAUAGGGGAUCUGCGGACCUUGCGCUAAUAAAUGACCCUACGUCGGAUUAGCUACUGGGUGGGGUAAAGGCCUACCAAGGCGACUAUCUGUAGCGGGUCUGAGACGAUGAUCCGCCCCACUGGGACUGAGACACGGCCCCACUCCUACGGGAGGCAGCAGUGGGGAAUAUUGGACCCGGGCGCAAGCCUGAUCCAGCCAUGCCGCGUGUGUGAAGAAGGCCUUAUGGUUGUAAAGCACUUUAAGCGAGGAGGAGGCUACUUUAGUUAAUACCUAGAGAUAGUGGACGUUACUCGCAAAAUAAGCACCGGCUAACUCUGUGCCAGCAUCCGCGGUAAUACAGAGGGUGCAAGCGUUAAUCGGAUUUACUGGGCGUAAAGCGCGCGUAGGCGGCUAAUUAAGUCAAAUGUGAAAUCCCCGAGCUUAACUUGGGAAAUGCCUUCCAUACUGGUUAGCUAGAGUGGGGGAGAGGAUGGUAGAAUUCCAGGUGUAGCGGUGAAAUGCCUACAGAUCUGGAAGAAUACCGAUGGCGAAAGCAGCCAUCUGGCCUAACACUGAACGCUGACGUGCGAAAGCAUGGGGAGCAAACAGGAUUAGAUACCCUGGUAGUCCCAUGCCGUAAACGA
RNAcentral lists this ribosomal RNA (748 nucleotides) under Acinetobacter pittii. RNAcentral describes it as "bacterial SSU rRNA". It matches the Rfam family "Bacterial small subunit ribosomal RNA", at positions 65 to 809 of the family's 1533-position model. Lineage: Bacteria; Pseudomonadati; Pseudomonadota; Gammaproteobacteria; Moraxellales; Moraxellaceae. The record is from RNAcentral.